Molecule: ribosomal RNA, 319 nt
Filed under: uncultured Lactobacillus sp.
Lineage: Bacteria; Bacillati; Bacillota; Bacilli; Lactobacillales; Lactobacillaceae
Description: bacterial SSU rRNA
Rfam family: Bacterial small subunit ribosomal RNA
Source: RNAcentral
UUUAGCAGUAGGGAAUCUUCCACAAUGGACGAAAGUCUGAUGGAGCAACGCCGCGUGAGUGAAGAAGGGUUUCGGCUCGUAAAACUCUGUUGUUAAAGAAGAACAUAUCUGAGAGUAACUGUUCAGGUAUUGACGGUAUUUAACCAGAAAGCCACGGCUAACUACGUGCCAGCAGCCGCGGUAAUACGUAGGUGGCAAGCGUUGUCCGGAUUUAUUGGGCGUAAAGCGAGCGCAGGCGGUUUUUUAAGUCUGAUGUGAAAGCCUUCGGCUCAACCGAAGAAGUGCAUCGGAAACUGGGAAACUGAUCAGACAGAAACGG